UACGAAGGGUGCGAGCGUUAAUCGGAAUUACUGGGCGUAAAGCGUGCGCAGGCGGUUUUGUAAGCCAGAUGUGAAAUCCCCGGGCUUAACCUGGGAAUGGCAUUUGGGACUGCAAGGCUGGAGUUUGGCAGAGGAGACUGGAAUUCCUGGUGUAGCAGUGAAAUGCGUAGAAUAUCAGGAGGAAUACCGAUGGCGAAGGCAGGUCUCUGGGCUGAAACUGACGCUCAUGCACGAAAGCGUGGGGAGCAAACAGG
RNAcentral lists this ribosomal RNA (254 nucleotides) under uncultured bacterium. RNAcentral's name for it is "partial 16S ribosomal RNA". It matches the Rfam family "Bacterial small subunit ribosomal RNA", at positions 524 to 776 of the family's 1533-position model. The record is from RNAcentral.